UGUGCACCUCUCUCAGUCCUUCGCUCUCUCCGUCUCUCUCUGCAAGUUUGUCGGCCGUGGCGGCUGACAGCCGGCUCUGUGCGGCGCCUUCUCAUCCUCGUUCCGUCGAGCGCCUUCCGUGGCGGUUUUUUUUUUUUUGCGCCGUGCCCGGCAGACCUUGGGACCCGACCGCCGGCUCGCUGGGAAACUGUUGGAGCCCGCGUCCGCGUCCACCCGCCGCGCUGGGGGAGCGUGGGUAAUGCCUGCCGUCCAUGCCGGUGUCUCCCUCCCUUUGGUUCAGUAGCACAGUAACCCAUAUAAAUCAACUGAGGACUGAGGAAAGGCAACCUCAUAAUCCAAGGCAUAUCCCAGUUAAACAUCAGACGACACCCUGGCUUUCUGCACAGCAGGAGGCUUCCUUCAGAGGAGGAUUCAGAUGGAACGGACUUUACACUUGGAAUUCUGCCAGUGAAAUAGGAGAAUCUCAGCCAUUUGAGCACUGGGAGUGAAAGGGAUUGUGGGGGAUGGAGUUUCUAGUGACUGGAGCGAGAGUGCCCCAUGGUCCAGACAGCCACUGGUGGGGCCUUGCCUUGUGAUGCAAGGCAUCUUCAAUCAAUUAAAAAAAGCUCUCUUGACAAAAAGUGGAUUGUGAACUAUCUCCCUCGCUUUCCGCCGUAAGACUCUUUUCGGUGACGGGUAUUCUUGGGUGGAUAAUACGGAUCGCGUUGUUAUUGCUUAAGAAUACGCGUAGUCGAGGAGAGUCAUUCCUGCAGCGUCGUCGACUUAAAUCCAAUGAUCUCUAAAGUGCCCACCUGCCUGAUUGCUUUAUACUGCGGCUAAUAACGUAGAGAAACUCCGAAACACACACACAGGUCUAUUUAUCAAGCAACCUGACAUAUUACCUCUUCCUAUUUAUUUCUGUGAUUACUGUACUGUCAAGUGGAGAGCUAGCCAUGGUAACAUCGGCCAUCACGUUUUUUUUAUAGCUGUGUAUUUCAAAGAAGAAUUUUCCCCUUUGAGAAUAUUACUAUUUUUUGCUGCACUGUUUUGUAAUUCUGUUAACCCUGCUGCCAACGUGGUGUCUGAUCUCUAGAAUAUGAAUUCAAAAAAAUGUUUUAUUCUGCUUCUCUCUAUUUGUGGAUGAAAUACACCCUCAUAUGCAUUUGUCCAUUUCACGGCAUGUUGGAAAGGGGAACGGCAUUGUGCAUGUUAUAUAGAUUGGCUUGCUGCAAGAAAUGCUUCCAUUAUUCUUUAUCUGCUCAUGCUGACAAACAUAGACUUCCCUUUCAACCUUAUUUUAAGCAGAUCGAUUUUAAAAUUGCAUUUAUCGGCCAGUGUUUGGCUCAAAGGACACAGUUAAGCCACUAGGGCCAUGGAGCAAUAUGUUUCAAUUCAUGCAGUGAGGGGAUAGUGUGUUUACACAAACAGACAUGGAGAGAAAAAGCAGGAGGUGUAGCUGAAAUAGACUAAUGCCACAAGCAGAUUUUAAUCUACCACCAUGUUAGCAUGAUAAAAAGCAUGGCGUACAAUGGCUUGAGAAUAAAAAAAUGCAUUUUAGGAAGGUAGUCAGUGCUUACCCACAUUAACCACAAACACCCACUCCUCUCCCUGUGUCUGUCCACCUCUACAAAUAUAUACACACGUAUGCACACAUGCACAUGUACACCUAUAUAUUUAAAUUUGUGAAAAUUAAUAAAGAAUUUACAAUUA
Molecule: long non-coding RNA, 1689 nt
Organism: Anguilla rostrata (American eel)
Lineage: Eukaryota; Metazoa; Chordata; Actinopteri; Anguilliformes; Anguillidae
Exons: 3
Source: RefSeq, a predicted model, not a curated record